This 448-nucleotide ribosomal RNA is filed under the name uncultured bacterium. RNAcentral describes it as "SSU rRNA". It matches the Rfam family "Bacterial small subunit ribosomal RNA", at positions 26 to 518 of the family's 1533-position model. The record is from RNAcentral.
AGAGCGAACGCUGGCGGCAGGCUUAACACAUGCAAGUCGAGCGGGCGUAGCAAUACGUCAGCGGCAGACGGGUGAGUAACGCGUGGGAACAUACCUUUUGGUUCGGAACAACCCAGGGAAACUUGGGCUAAUACCGGAUAAGCCCUUACGGGGAAAGAUUUAUCGCCGAAAGAUUGGCCCGCGUCUGAUUAGCUAGUUGGUGAGGUAACGGCUCACCAAGGCGACGAUCAGUAGCUGGUCUGAGAGGAUGAUCAGCCACAUUGGGACUGAGACACGGCCCAAACUCCUACGGGAGGCAGCAGUGGGGAAUAUUGGACAAUGGGCGCAAGCCUGAUCCAGCCAUGCCGCGUGAGUGAUGAAGGCCCUAGGGUUGUAAAGCUCUUUGUGCGGGAAGAUAAUGACGGUACCGCAAGAAUAACGCCCCGGCUAACUUCGCGCCAGCAGCCGC